This 477-nucleotide ribosomal RNA is filed under the name Pichia kudriavzevii. RNAcentral's name for it is "partial large subunit ribosomal RNA". It matches the Rfam family "Eukaryotic large subunit ribosomal RNA", at positions 127 to 612 of the family's 3401-position model. The record is from RNAcentral. Lineage: Eukaryota; Fungi; Ascomycota; Pichiomycetes; Pichiales; Pichiaceae.
UGCUUUGCGGCACGAGUUGUAGAUUGCAGGUUGGAGUCUGUGUGGAAGGCGGUGUCCAAGUCCCUUGGAACAGGGCGCCCAGGAGGGUGAGAGCCCCGUGGGAUGCCGGCGGAAGCAGUGAGGCCCUUCUGACGAGUCGAGUUGUUUGGGAAUGCAGCUCCAAGCGGGUGGUAAAUUCCAUCUAAGGCUAAAUACUGGCGAGAGACCGAUAGCGAACAAGUACUGUGAAGGAAAGAUGAAAAGCACUUUGAAAAGAGAGUGAAACAGCACGUGAAAUUGUUGAAAGGGAAGGGUAUUGCGCCCGACAUGGGGAUUGCGCACCGCUGCCUCUCGUGGGCGGCGCUCUGGGCUUUCCCUGGGCCAGCAUCGGUUCUUGCUGCAGGAGAAGGGGUUCUGGAACGUGGCUCUUCGGAGUGUUAUAGCCAGGGCCAGAUGCUGCGUGCGGGGACCGAGGACUGCGGCCGUGUAGGUCACGGA